AACUAUAAACACAACCUUCAUUUACACUAUCAAAUAAAAAUCAGAAUUUUUAUUGAUGUGUCUUAUUCUUAUUGUCUACCCAUGAAUGGCCCUAAAUACCCACUCUAUUUCUCCUCUAAUUUUAGAUUGUCGUACUGUAUUUCCCCAAUAUCUUCGUCUUAUAGUCAGAAUAUGCAUAUACUUCCUUCACGAAAGUUGUAGAUCGUGAAAAGUUAUUGAAUUUAGACUCAAAAAUCAUCUGAUUCGGAGUUCGAAGCAGAGAGUUAGACCCUCUUCUAUUUGUUUGGUUAAGAACGCUAUGAUUUUAUGGAGGAUGAUUCUUGGAGAUUAAGAGAUGAUGAUACUUAAGGAGUAAGGAAAUGAAUUAGCGUAUAAGGUAUUAUGAAGAUAGCUCUGGAUCAGUUAUGUCAAGGAUGCUCCGAAAAGGUUGAGAUGAAGCGACUCUACAUAUAUUUGGGAUAUUUAGAAUAUUAUGUAUUAUGAGUUAUCAUUAUUACUCUAGUUGAGAGUUUGUAUAUUUUUGGAGACCAUUUUAAGGCUAUUAUUUUAUUUGUGGGCCCAUAACCCACAGCUUAAGUU
Molecule: long non-coding RNA, 579 nt
Organism: Beta vulgaris subsp. vulgaris (sugar beet)
Lineage: Eukaryota; Viridiplantae; Streptophyta; Magnoliopsida; Caryophyllales; Amaranthaceae
Exons: 2
Source: RefSeq, a predicted model, not a curated record